GUUACAGUCUUUUGAAUUAGAAAUUAUAUUUACCAAAUUAUUUUCUAAAUGUAUUUAACUGUUUAGCAGGGAGAAUAAGGAAGAGUAAUCGCCCACCAAGGCUGAUGAUGCUGGAGGGACUAGAUUAGUCUGAGCUCCUUUUCCUCUUAGAUCAGCAUAUUCUGUGAUGUUGCCCGUGAUGUUCUGUGCCUGGGUAUCUGCUGAUAUGCUUCAAGUGACAGUAGAAUUCAAACCAAAAAUAUGAAUACAAUGUCCCACCUGAUUUUAAAGGAUUGGGUUUAGAGUGUGCAUCA
This 293-nucleotide long non-coding RNA is filed under the name Bos taurus (domestic cattle). RNAcentral's name for it is "long non-coding RNA NONBTAT016551". The record is from RNAcentral. Lineage: Eukaryota; Metazoa; Chordata; Mammalia; Artiodactyla; Bovidae.